UACGAAGGGUGCAAGCGUUAAUCGGAAUUACUGGGCGUAAAGCGUGCGUAGGCGGUUUGUUAAGUCUGUUGUGAAAUCCCCGGGCUCAACCUGGGAAUGGCAAUGGAUACUGGCAAGCUAGAGUGUGUCAGAGGAUGAUGGAAUUCCCGGUGUAGCGGUGAAAUGCGUAGAGAUCGGGAGGAACAUCAGUGGCGAAGGCGGCCAUCUGGGACAACACUGACGCUGAGGCACGAAAGCGUGGGGAGCAAACAGG
This 253-nucleotide ribosomal RNA is filed under the name uncultured bacterium. RNAcentral describes it as "partial 16S ribosomal RNA". It matches the Rfam family "Bacterial small subunit ribosomal RNA", at positions 524 to 776 of the family's 1533-position model. The record is from RNAcentral.